RNAcentral lists this ribosomal RNA (502 nucleotides) under uncultured bacterium. RNAcentral's name for it is "bacterial SSU rRNA". It matches the Rfam family "Bacterial small subunit ribosomal RNA", at positions 30 to 524 of the family's 1533-position model. The record is from RNAcentral.
AUUGAACGCUGGCGGCAUGCCUUACACAUGCAAGUCGAACGGCAGCACGGACUUCGGUCUGGUGGCGAGUGGCGAACGGGUGAGUAAUGUAUCGGAACGUACCUUUCAGUGGGGGUAUAACGUAGCGAAAGUUACGCUAAUACCGCAUAUUCUGUGAGCAGGAAAGCAGGGGAUCGCAAGACCUUGCGCUGAUUGAGCGGCCGAUAUCAGAUUAGCUAGUUGGUGGGGUAAAGGCCUACCAAGGCUACGAUCUGUAGCGGGUCUGAGAGGAUGAUCCGCCACACUGGAACUGAGACACGGUCCAGACUCCUACGGGAGGCAGCAGUGGGGAAUUUUGGACAAUGGGGGCAACCCUGAUCCAGCCAUGCCGCGUGCAGGAUGAAGGCCCUCGGGUUGUAAACUGCUUUUGUACGGAACGAAACGGCUCUGGUUAAUACCUGGGGCUAAUGACGGUACCGUAAGAAUAAGCACCGGCUAACUACGUGCCAGCAGCCGCGGUAAU